RNAcentral lists this ribosomal RNA (980 nucleotides) under Botrytis cinerea. RNAcentral's name for it is "eukaryotic LSU rRNA". The stretch from base 158 to 311 matches the Rfam family "5.8S ribosomal RNA". Lineage: Eukaryota; Fungi; Ascomycota; Leotiomycetes; Helotiales; Sclerotiniaceae. The record is from RNAcentral.
CCGUUUUCAGUGUGCUCGGUCUGCCGAAGGGUAGACCUCCCACCCUUGUGUAUUAUUACUUUGUUGCUUUGGCGAGCUGCCUUCGGGCCUUGUAUGCUCGCCAGAGAAUACCAAAACUCUUUUUAUUAAUGUCGUCUGAGUACUAUAUAAUAGUUAAAACUUUCAACAACGGAUCUCUUGGUUCUGGCAUCGAUGAAGAACGCAGCGAAAUGCGAUAAGUAAUGUGAAUUGCAGAAUUCAGUGAAUCAUCGAAUCUUUGAACGCACAUUGCGCCCCUUGGUAUUCCGGGGGGCAUGCCUGUUCGAGCGUCAUUUCAACCCUCAAGCUUAGCUUGGUAUUGAGUCUAUGUCAGUAAUGGCAGGCUCUAAAAUCAGUGGCGGCGCCGCUGGGUCCUGAACGUAGUAAUAUCUCUCGUUACAGGUUCUCGGUGUGCUUCUGCCAAAACCCAAAUUUUUCUAUGGUUGACCUCGGAUCAGGUAGGGAUACCCGCUGAACUUAAGCAUAUCAUAACGGGGAAAGGAAAAAACUUUAAGAGUUCAUGCCCGAAAGGGUAGACCUCCCACCCUUGUGUAUUAUUACGUUGUUGCUUUGGCGAGCUGCCUUCGGGCCUUGUAUGCUCGCCGAGAAUACCAAACUCUUUUAUUAAUGUCGUCUGAGUACUAUAUAAGUUAAACUUUCACACGGACUUGGUUCUGCAUCGAUAAAAAAGCACGAUGCGAUAGUAAUGUGAAUUGCAAAAUCAUGAUCAUCGACUUGAACGCACAUGCGCCUUGGUAUUCCGGGGGCAUGCUGUUCGAGCGUCAUUCACCUCAGCUUAGCUGGGUGUUGAGUCUAUGUCAGUAAUGAGCAGGCUAAAAUCAUGGCGCGCCCUGGUGCUGAAAGUAGUAUAUCUCUGGUUACAGUCUCGGUUGCGGCUGCAAACAAAUUUUCUUGUGACCUCGACAGUAGGUACCGCUACUAGAUAGUUAGCGAGAGAGAAA